Long non-coding RNA from Dromaius novaehollandiae (emu), 696 nucleotides. RefSeq lists it as uncharacterized. NCBI's taxonomy places the organism in Eukaryota, Metazoa, Chordata, Aves, Casuariiformes, Dromaiidae. The transcript is spliced from 3 exons. The record is from RefSeq and is a predicted model, not a curated record.
AAUGCUGUGCACAGUGCUGCUGUUUCAGUGUGGGGAUGACAGAGCGUCUUUAUCAGCUGUCUUGCAGUCUGAACUCUUUUCAGCAGUGUCUAAGUUGCCAUUCCACUCAACUGUGAUGACUGAACAAGAUCACAGGACCGGAUCCUCACAAGGACCUAUAUGCUGAAGUAUAUGCCCAGUCUUUGUGGACUCUGUGCUGUCCAUAGCAUCUAAAGCGAAAAACGUAGACAUCUGACUCGCCACUCAGGCACUGUCUUGCAGUGAAGGUGGUGACUCUUCAAAGAUCUCUCAAUCACCUAUCUCCUCUUCCGCUUAAAUUUCUGGGCGUGGAUGAAGGCUGAGCUGAAAGUGUUUCUCGUUCUCGGUAAAAUCCCUUCCCGCACACAACGGACAGGAGACGAGAGCGACUUGCCCGAGGUACUGCCAGGGCACCAGAGGCGAAGGAAGGUCAGCCUUCUCUCAGGUGGGCACUUUUCAGAGGUGCACUAUUAGUUUUGCUACCAGCCGCUGGUGACAUGCAAUAUUCAGUGACAAGUGCCAGUCUGGAGGCUUCUCGACUGUGUUGCAGUGGAAUUACUUUGUCACUGUUGUGUUAUUUCUACCAGCCUCCAUGAGGACAGCUUUCUGCUUUUCUGCUGUUAAGGAAACCACACUGCCAGGGAAGAUGUCUCUAUUAAGAUGACAUGUCAUAUGCUG